This 497-nucleotide ribosomal RNA is filed under the name uncultured bacterium. Its description in RNAcentral is "partial 16S ribosomal RNA". It matches the Rfam family "Bacterial small subunit ribosomal RNA", at positions 28 to 507 of the family's 1533-position model. The record is from RNAcentral.
GAUGAACGCUGGCGGCGUGCCUAAUACAUGCCAGUCGAGCGAACAGAUGAGGAGCUUGCUCCUCUGACGUUAGCGGCGGACGGGUGAGUAACACGUGGAUAACCUACCUAUAAGACUGGGAUAACUUCGGGAAACCGGAGCUAAUACCGGAUAAUAUAUUGAACCGCAUGGUUCAAUAGUGAAAGACGGUUUUGCUGUCACUUAUAGAUGGAUCCGCGCCGCAUUAGCUAGUUGGUAAGGUAACGGCUUACCAAGGCAACGAUGCGUAGCCGACCUGAGAGGGUGAUCGGCCACACUGGAACUGAGACACGGUCCAGACUCCUACGGGAGGCAGCAGUAGGGAAUCUUCCGCAAUGGGCGAAAGCCUGACGGAGCAACGCCGCGUGAGUGAUGAAGGUCUUCGGAUCGUAAAACUCUGUUAUUAGGGAAGAACAAAUGUGUAAGUAACUAUGCACGUCUUGACGGUACCUAAUCAGAAAGCCUCGGCUAACUACGUG